This 425-nucleotide ribosomal RNA is filed under the name uncultured eukaryote. RNAcentral's name for it is "SSU rRNA". It matches the Rfam family "Eukaryotic small subunit ribosomal RNA", at positions 567 to 990 of the family's 1831-position model. The record is from RNAcentral.
CCAGCAGCCGCGGUAAUUCCAGCUCCAAUAGCGUAUAUUAAAGUUGCUGCAGUUAAAAAGCUCGUAGUUGGAUCUCGGGUGCAGGCUUGCGGUCCGUCUCGCGGCGGUCACUGCUCGUCCUGGCCUCCCAGCCGGCGUACCGUCCCUUGGUGCUCUUGACUGAGUGUCUCGGGCGGCCGGAACGUUUACUUUGAAGAAAUUAGAGUGCUCAAAGCAGGCCUUGGUCGCCUGAAUAAUGGUGCAUGGAAUAAUGGAAUAGGACCUCGGUUCUAUUUUGUUGGUUUUCGGAGCUCGAGGUAAUGAUUAAUAGGGACUGACGGGGGCAUUCGUAUUGCGGCGCUAGAGGUGAAAUUCUUGGAUCGCCGUAAGACGAACUACUGCGAUAGCAUUUGCCAAGAAUGUUUUCAUUAAUCAAGAACGAAAGU